RNAcentral lists this ribosomal RNA (254 nucleotides) under uncultured bacterium. Its description in RNAcentral is "partial 16S ribosomal RNA". It matches the Rfam family "Bacterial small subunit ribosomal RNA", at positions 524 to 776 of the family's 1533-position model. The record is from RNAcentral.
UACGGAGGGGGCGAGCGUUGUCCGGAUUUACUGGGCGUAAAGGGCGCGUAGGCGGUCAGCACAAGUCAGUUGUGAAAUCUCCGGGCUUAACUCGGAAAGGUCAACUGAUACUGUGCGACUAGAGUGCAGAAGGGGCAACUGGAAUUCUCGGUGUAGCGGUGAAAUGCGUAGAUAUCGAGAGGAACACCUGCGGCGAAGGCGGGUUGCUGGGCUGACACUGACGCUGAUGCGCGAAAGCCAGGGGAGCGAACGGG